RNAcentral lists this ribosomal RNA (497 nucleotides) under uncultured bacterium. RNAcentral describes it as "partial 16S ribosomal RNA". It matches the Rfam family "Bacterial small subunit ribosomal RNA", at positions 28 to 507 of the family's 1533-position model. The record is from RNAcentral.
GAUGAACGCUGGCGGCGUGCCUAACACAUGCAAGUCGAACGAAAAGACCAUGAGCUUGCUGCUUGCACGUUAGCGGAGCACGUGAGUGACACGCGUGUAUCCCCUCCCUAUAUUACUGAUAAAACUUCGGGAAACGGGAGCUAAUACCAUAUAAUAUACUGAUGCACAUGGUGCAAUGGUGAAAUACGGCGUUUCGGUCACUUAUAGAUGGAUCCGAGCCGCAUUAGCUAGUCGUUGAGUUCACGGCCUACCAAGGCAACGAUGCGUAGGCGGCCUAAGAGGGUGAUAGGCCACACUGGAACUGGGACACGGUCCAGACUCCUACGGGAGGCAGCAGUAGGGAACCUUCGGCAAUGGGCGAAAGCCUGACGGAGCAACGCCGCGUGAGUGAUGAAGGUCUUCGGAUCGUAAAACUCUGUUAUUAGGGAAGAACAAAUGUGUAAGUAACUAUGCACGUCUUGACGGUACCUAAUCAGAAAGCCACGGCUAACUACGUG